CAAAAACUUCAGGGUGGGGUGAAAAUCCCAACCGGCGGUAUACCCCGCGAGCUUCGGCACGAACCGGUGAAAUUCCGGUGGCGACAGUAGAGUCUGGAUGGAAGAAGGUUUAU
This 113-nucleotide non-coding RNA is filed under the name Ileibacterium valens. RNAcentral describes it as "FMN riboswitch aptamer (RFN element)". It matches the Rfam family "FMN riboswitch aptamer (RFN element)". Rfam says of the family: The RFN element is a highly conserved domain that is found frequently in the 5'-untranslated regions of prokaryotic mRNAs that encode for flavin mononucleotide (FMN) biosynthesis and transport proteins. RNAcentral also lists the same sequence under 1 other name. The record is from Rfam by way of RNAcentral. Lineage: Bacteria; Bacillati; Bacillota; Erysipelotrichia; Erysipelotrichales; Erysipelotrichaceae.